UACAAAUAUUGUACUUACAUUUCAGUGCAGAGUAUAUGGAGCAAUAUAAAUAAGUCAUUGUCUUGAUGAAAUGUUAGUUUGUACGGACUUUGCUAGUGCUUGUUAUGUAGCUUGUUGUAAAACUAGGCAACUAUCUAGCUGGGUUGAUGUACACCCUGGAAGACCUCUGUGUACCAGCAGUGGUCUACAUACCCCUGGUUGAGAACCACUGAGUUAGGUCAUAGGAUGAAGCAAGGUGGCUUUGUGUCCUCUCAGAUUCUUGGCUGUGCUCCCACACUUCUAGUAGUUUCAUACCUCACAUUAGGGUGACCAGAUAGCAAGUGUGAAAAAUCGGGACAGUGUGUUGGGGGUAAUAGGUGCCUAUAUAUGAAAAAGAACUAAAUAUUGGGACUAUCCCUAUAAAAUCGGGACAUCUGGUCACCCUACCUCACAUGCAUUUUCCACCAGUGGGCUGCUUCCAGCAAGAAGCCUAGAAGUGCAAACUGUAAAUAACAGCAUCACAAAGACAAACAUCUCUUUUCUGUCAUAGUGAGAAGGUAGUAAUGGAGCUUUCUAGGGUGUGUAUUGGAAAUUCCCCUGCCCAGGGAUCAGGCCUUGCACUGCGGAAGAAUGUGUAAGCAGAGUGAUGAGCUCUACCCUGACAUCUGGUGGUGAAUAUCAGAGCCAGUUUUGAUUCCAUUAGGAGUCUAGUUAUAGGCUGCUGAGCUGAAUUGACUUUGGGCCAAUGGUGUACGAUCACUGAGGCUCCCCUCCUACAAGCUAAAAUUACGAAGAGCUGAAAUCACUGAGUUGUGUUAAGUAGUGGGUGGGGGCUGAAGAUAUAUCAUGGAGCACUUUGUGGGAUGGUGGGAGUGGCUCACGGGAUGAUGAGCAGAGCAAUUUGUGGCUGGUGGAGCGGAGCCCCACAGAGAGGUAACCCCCCCCCCCAUUUCCACCCAGGUUGGGAGGUAAAACUCUGCAGAUAAACUUUUGAAUUCUGGGGCUGCCAUGACCAGGGACAGGGGCUUUUGGGUUGUUGGACUUUUGGGAUUUUGGGUGACUUUUGGGUUGCUGGACUCAAGAACUAAAGGGAAAGGACACGGCCCAAUUUGCUUAGGGUGGGUUUUGGCUCAUGGAUUGUUAUGAAUCCUGUUGGUGGUGUUUCCCCAACAUAAUGCCACAUUGUUUCUCUCUGUUAUUAAAAGGGUUUUGUCACA
Caretta caretta (loggerhead turtle) is the source of this 1196-nucleotide non-coding RNA. The record is from RefSeq and is a predicted model, not a curated record. NCBI's taxonomy places the organism in Eukaryota, Metazoa, Chordata, Testudines, Cheloniidae.